RNAcentral lists this ribosomal RNA (470 nucleotides) under uncultured bacterium. RNAcentral describes it as "SSU rRNA". It matches the Rfam family "Bacterial small subunit ribosomal RNA", at positions 26 to 518 of the family's 1533-position model. The record is from RNAcentral.
AGGACGAACGCUGGCGGCGUGCUUAACACAUGCAAGUCGAGCGGAAAGGCCCUUCUGGGUACUCGAGCGGCGAACGGGUGAGUAACACGUGAGUAAUCUGCCCCUAGCUCUGGGAUAGCUCCGGGAAACCGGGAUUAAUACCGGAUACGACCACCUUAGACAUCUUUUGUGGUGGAAAGAAUUUCGGCUAGGGAUGAGCUCGCGGCCUAUCAGCUUGUUGGUGGGGUAACGGCCUACCAAGGCGACGACGGGUAGCCGGCCUGAGAGGGCGACCGGCCACGACUGGGACUGAGACACGGCCCAGACUCCUACGGGAGGCAGCAGUGGGGAAUAUUGCGCAAUGGGCGAAAGCCUGACGCAGCGACGCCGCGUGGGGGAUGAAGGCCUUCGGGUUGUAAAGCCCUUUCGGCGGGGAAGAUAAUGACGGUACCGCAGAAGAAGCCCCGGCUAACGUUCGUGCCAGCAGCCGC